GAUGAACGCUGGCGGCGUGCCUAAUACAUGCAGGUCGAGCGAACUGAUUAGAAGCUUGCUUCUAUGACGUUAGCGGCGGACGGGUGAGUAACACGUGGGCAACCUGCCUGUAAGACUGGGAUAACUUCGGGAAACCGAAGCUAAUACCGGAUAGGAUCUUCUCCUUCAUGGGAGAUGAUUGAAAGAUGGUUUCGGCUAUCACUUACAGAUGGGCCCGCGGUGCAUUAGCUAGUUGGUGAGGUAACGGCUCACCAAGGCAACGAUGAAUAGCCGACCUGAGAGGGUGAUCGGCCACACUGGGACUGAGACACGGCCCAGACUCCUACGGGAGGCAGCAGUAGGGAAUCUUCCGCAAUGGACGAAAGUCUGACGGAGCAACGCCGCGUGAGUGAUGAAGGCUUUCGGGUCGUAAAACUCUGUUGUUAGGGAAGAACAAGUACAAGAGUAACUGCUUGUACCUUGACGGUACCUAACCAGAAAGCCACGGCUAACUACGUGCCAGCCGCCGCAGUAA
Molecule: ribosomal RNA, 514 nt
Filed under: uncultured bacterium
Lineage: Bacteria
Description: partial 16S ribosomal RNA
Rfam family: Bacterial small subunit ribosomal RNA
Source: RNAcentral